CUACGGAGGGGGCAAGCGUUAUUCGGAAUUAUUGGGCGUAAAGGGCGCGCAGGCGGCCUGGCAAGUCAAAGGUGAAAUCCCUCGGCCCAACCGAGGAACUGCCUUUGAAACUGCCUGGCUUGAGGCCGGGAGAGGGUAGUGGAAUUCCCAGUGUAGCGGUGAAAUGCGUAGAUAUUGGGAGGAACACCAGUGGCGAAGGCGACUACCUGGACCGGUUCUGACGCUGAGGCGCGAAAGCGUGGGGAGCAAACAGGAUUAGAAACCCGAGUAGUCC
RNAcentral lists this ribosomal RNA (274 nucleotides) under uncultured bacterium. Its description in RNAcentral is "partial 16S ribosomal RNA". It matches the Rfam family "Bacterial small subunit ribosomal RNA", at positions 523 to 796 of the family's 1533-position model. The record is from RNAcentral.